Molecule: RNA transcript, 2728 nt
Organism: Camarhynchus parvulus
Lineage: Eukaryota; Metazoa; Chordata; Aves; Passeriformes; Thraupidae
Gene: REX1BD
Gene name: required for excision 1-B domain containing
Exons: 6
Source: RefSeq, a predicted model, not a curated record
CUGCGCCGUGCGGCCGGGCCGGGCCAUGACGGGCGAGGCCGUGCGGGAGCUGCUGCAGCGGCUGCGGGAGCUGCAGAGCGAGCGGGUCGAGACGUACCGGCUCUUCGAGGAGGGCCACCGGGCGUACUUGAGCAGUGCCCCCCACUAUGACUUCCCGCGGUACCGGCAGCUGGUGCACGAGGUCACCGUGGCCUUCAGCGGCAUCUCCCGGGAGGUGCUGGCCAUCGCCGGGCGCCUGCGGGACCAGCUCGGCCGCCCCGAGCUGGCCCAGCACCUGGCCCGGCUCCAGGAGAGGGAGCAGGAGAAGCUGCAGCUGACGGCGCAGCUGCAGCUGGCCCGGCAGCAGGCACAGGACCAGCCCGAGGUGGACGCCCAUCAGCAGGAGGUGCAGGAGCUCAAGCACAAGCUAAUUAAAACCAUUGAGGCAAUCAGCGAAAUUCUCCAGGACCUUAAGUACGAUUCGGAAGAAGUUGAGUGAUGGGUGUCCCCGUGGGAACGGCUGGAGGGGCCGGCCUGGUGGAACGGGGGCCCCGCUCAUCCCCCACCCGCUCCCGGCGCACCUUGGCAAGCCACACGCGCCACUGGUCGUAGAGUUUGAUGCCGAGGUUGGAGCAGCCGUAGGCGUGUUUCUUCACCCACCCGAAAAACUGCUUCAGCUCCCGCCGCAGCGUCGUGUUCUGCUCCCCCCCUUUGGGGUCGCAGCCCCCCGCCACUCGCUCUGCGGGGACAAGGGGGGCGGUGGCACACGGGGGGACGCGCCUCGACCCCCCCAUCGCCGCCGUGCCGUGAAUGAGGAGAGGAACACGAGCAGGUUUGGGCUCCCAGCUGGGAAAGCCGAGCUCCAGUUCGGCUCCUUUGCAGGAGAUCCAGGUGCCGGGCAUGGAGCGGGGCAGGGCCCCCGCACAUCCCGCGGUGCGCUGGGAGGGGAGCGCGGCACCGGCGGCACCACCGAGCGCUGCCGGCCGCACUCACCGCUGCGUGGGGUGGAGGCGGCCGUGGGGUUGCUCCAGUCGCUCCAGAUCCCGGCUUUCUUGGAGCCGUAGAUGCUGAAGGGGUUACAGCGCACCUGGACGAAGUAGACGGUGCCGGGGCGCAGGCCGGCCAGGCGGCAGGAGGUCUGGUUGCCCACAUCAUCCACCACCUGCACAGGGAGGAGAUGGCAGCGCCCGCACCCGCGGCCACCCCGCGCUGUCCCCCGGCCGUGCCCACCCACCUUCCACUCGGAGCUGUCCUCCACCCGGUAUUGGAUCUGGUACUUGGCUUGGAAGAGGAAAUCCUUGAGGGCCGGCGGGGAGCUCCAGCGCACGCUCAGCUGGUCCUCCAGGUCGCCCACCCUGCUGACGUGCACGUCGGACGGCGGGUCCGUGGUGACUGCGGGGACAGGGCAGGGCUGGCCCAGGGGACAGCGGGGCAGCGCCGCGGGGCCGCGAGGGUUAAGGAGCCGCGGAUGUCGGAGCGACUCGGAGCAAACAGCCUAAUUCGAUUAGGAGCAAUUCUGCUCACAUAUCGCCCAUUUCCUGCUGCCCCCGCCCCAGCCCGGCGCGGCCGCUCCCCUCGCAAGGUCACCGGCACCGCACGGCGGUGACACCCGUGGCUCACCCACGUCCAGGAUGUCCAGCAUGACCACGUCGGACACGGCCACCCCCAGGCGGUUGGACGCCUCCACCCAGAUCUCGUAGGGCGUGAAGAGGGCCAGGUCCUUGGGGAUGUGGCAGGAGUACGUUCCGGCCGUGUGGUAUUCCUGGCAGGUGUUGUCCUGGCCGUACCACCUGCGGGCAGGUGAUGGAUGAGGUGCUGGCACCGCUCCCCCAUGCUCCUGUGGGUCACUUUUUGUUUUUUCCACACUGCCAGAAUUGGGGGACCGGCCCCGUGGUUCACUCGGGGAUUCCCAACUCAAGCAGGCCCACAGCAGCUUCUCCUCACCCUCCCCAGCUCCAUGAAGAAACUCAUCCCAGCAAAGCAGGGGCCCACCAGGAGGCAUCGAGCUGCCCCUUCCCCGUUUCCCAUUAAAUCCCGCUCCAAAGCUUUUAACAACAACGGGGUGAAGGUGAGCGCCCACCUGCGCUUGUACUUGAGGGUGUAGUUGGUGUGCAGGAAGGUCUCCCCUUCUGUCCCCGGCGCCCACUUGCAGGUCAGGUCCUUCAUGUUCUUGGACCAGCAAGUGAUGUUGACUGGUUUUUCUGGGGGUACUGGCAGAGACAAAAACCAAAGAACAAGAGGUUCCAGAGCUGGUUUUUUCCAGCCACGGAGACACAAACCCCAAAUCCAAGCUGCAUUCCCAGCUGAGCCUCUGUAUUCCUGGGAAUGCGUAGCGACCCAAAAAACAAACCCGAGCUGCAUUCCCCGUUCCGAUUCCAUAUUCCUGGGACAGAGCAUCGGCCUUAAAAUAGCCCGAGAUAAAAUCUUACGAUUAUUGGUUCGGACAAGCGCGUUUUAACCGAGGCUUUGCCGAAACAGCCUCUGAGCUGCGUGCAGGUCAGGGCUCUGCCACAGCAGCUCCUGGCGCGCUUUGGUGAGAACCAGCACGCUGAUUCCUCCCUGGGGAUCCCCAGCUUCUCUCCCGUGGGGGAGGCACAUCCCAGUGCUGGCCAGACCCCGGUACGGAGCAGCUGGACCCUGACACAGCGCUGCACCUUGGCACAGAGUGGCUGGACCCCAGCACAGUGACCAGACCCUGACACAGAGUGACCACACCCCAGCACAGUGACCAGACCCUGGUACAGAGAGG